RNAcentral lists this ribosomal RNA (292 nucleotides) under uncultured bacterium. RNAcentral describes it as "partial 16S ribosomal RNA". It matches the Rfam family "Bacterial small subunit ribosomal RNA", at positions 505 to 796 of the family's 1533-position model. The record is from RNAcentral.
GUGUCAGCAGCCGCGGUAAUACGAAGGGUGCAAGCGUUACUCGGAAUUACUGGGCGUAAAGCGUGCGUAGGUGGUCUGUUAAGUCUGAUGUGAAAGCCCUGGGCUCAACCUGGGAACUGCAUUGGAUACUGGCAGGCUAGAGUGCGGUAGAGGGUGGUGGAAUUCCCGGUGUAGCAGUGAAAUGCGUAGAGAUCGGGAGGAACAUCUGUGGCGAAGGCGACCGCCUGGACCAGCACUGACACUGAGGCACGAAAGCGUGGGGAGCAAACAGGAUUAGAAACCCUGGUAGUCC